CUCUGUGACUGGCUUGCUUGAUGGUUAGGGUCUGAUCGCUGCCUGAGACACCAUAUCGGUACUCCUCAGAGUUGGUGGCUGCCAUGAGAUAGUCAUGUGUUCAGGAGUAACAUCCAGAAUAUUAAUAGGACCUGUUGGUGGCCCAGGAACAUCAAGAACAGUAAGAUGUACGGCUACUGUUUUGCUACCGGCUGCAUUGGAAACUGUGAUUUGAUAUUCCCCAGUGUCUCUCCUUAAGCAGUUCUUAAUGAGAAUAGACGCCUUGAUGGCUCCUCUGGCAGUUCUUGAUGACCAUGGAUGAGCUAAUGGCUGUGGUCUCAAUGGUGGCUUCUUGAGAUGGUAUUGCCUCUGAAUUUGCUGAUUCAGAAGAUGUCGGACUCAUGUUAUCCUAUAGAAGAUGUAACAACCCAUAUACAUUUAUGAAAACCAGGAACUACAUUAUUAUAAUGAUGAAGGAAAAGCCCAAGAAAUCAACCAACCUGAAACCUGCAAUGAAGCUGUGCAGCUGUCUUUGCCAACAGGGUUCUGCACCUCAAAACUGUAUACCCCACUGUCACUCGGUGCUACAUUGA
Molecule: non-coding RNA, 572 nt
Filed under: Pan troglodytes (chimpanzee)
Lineage: Eukaryota; Metazoa; Chordata; Mammalia; Primates; Hominidae
Source: RNAcentral